This 393-nucleotide ribosomal RNA is filed under the name uncultured bacterium. RNAcentral's name for it is "partial 16S ribosomal RNA". It matches the Rfam family "Bacterial small subunit ribosomal RNA", at positions 523 to 918 of the family's 1533-position model. The record is from RNAcentral.
AUACGGAGGACGCGAGCGUUAUCCGGAUUCAUUGGGUUUAAAGGGUGCGCAGGCGGCCGUGCAAGUCAGCGGUGAAAGCCCGGGGCUCAACCCCGGAAGUGCCGUUGAUACUGCAUGGCUGGAAUGCGGUCGAGGCGGGCGGAACGUGGCGGGUAGCGGGGAAAUGCGUAGAUAUGCCACAGAAAGCCGAUAGCGGAGGCAGCUCGCCAGGCCUGCAUUGACGCUCGGGCACGAAAGCGUGGGGAUCGAACAGGAUUAGAUACCCUGGUAGUCCACGCCGUAAACGAUGGGCGCUCGUCGUCGGCGGCAGACAGUCGGCGGCCAAGCGAAAGCGAUAAGCGCCCCACCUGGGGAGUACGGUCGCAAGGUUGAAACUCAAAGGAAUUGACGGGG